CGGCCGAUGUCAGAUUAGCUAGUUGGUGAGGUAACGGCUUACCAAGGCGACGAUCUGUAGCGGGUCUGAGAGGAUGAUCCGCCACACUGGAACUGAGACACGGUCCAGACUCCUACGGGAGGCAGCAGUGGGGAAUUUUGGACAAUGGGGGCAACCCUGAUCCAGCCAUGCCGCGUGAGUGAAGAAGGCCUUCGGGUUGUAAAGCUCUUUCGGCCGGGAAGAAAUCGCAUGGGCCAAUACCCUGUGUGGAUGACGGUACCGGAAUAAGAAGCACCGGCUAACUACGUGCCAGCAGCCGCGGUAAUACGUAGGGUGCGAGCGUUAAUCGGAAUUACUGGGCGUAAAGCGUGCGCAGGCGGUUUUGUAAGACAGGCGUGAAAUCCCCGGGCUCAACCUGGGAACUGCGUUUGUGACUGCAAGGCUAGAGUACGGCAGAGGGGGGUGGAAUUCCACGUGUAGCAGUAAAAUGCGUAGAGAUGUGGAGGAACACCAAUGGCGAAGGCAGCCCCCUGGGUCGAUACUGACGCUCAUGCACGAAAGCGUGGGUAGCAAACAGGAUUAGAUACCCUGGUAGUCCACGCCCUAAACUAUGUCAACUAGGUGUUGGGUGGGUAAAACCAUUUAGUACCGUAGCUAACGCGUGAAGUUGACCGCCUGGGGAGUACGGCCGCAAGGUUAAAGCUCAAAGGAAUUGACGGGGACCCGCACAAGCGGUGGAUGAUGUGGAUUAAUUCGAUGCAACGCGAAAAACCUUACCUACCCUUGACAUGCCAGGAACUUGCCAGAGAUGGCUUGGUGCCCGAAAGGGAGCCUGGACACAGGUGCUGCAUGGCUGUCGUCAGCUCGUGUCGUGAGAUGUUGGGUUAAGUCCCGCAACGAGCGCAACCCUUGUCGUUAAUUGCCAUCAUUUAGUUGGGCACUUUAGCGAGACUGCCGGUGACAAACCGGAGGAAGGUGGGGAUGACGUCAAGUCCUCGUGGCCCUUAUGGGUAGGGCUUCACACGUCAUACAAUGGUCGGUACAGAGGGUCGCCAAGCCGCGAGGUGGAGCCAAUCCCAGAAAGCCGAUCGUAGUCCGGAUUGCAGGCUGCAACUCGCCUGCAUGAAGUCGGAAUCGCUAGUAAUCGUGGAUCAGCAUGUCACGGUGAAUACGUUCCCGGGUCUUGUACACACCGCCCGUCACACCAUGGGAGCGGGUUCCGCCAGAAGUAGGUAGCCUAACCGCAAGGAGGGCGCUUACCACGGCGGGGUUCGUGACUGGGGUGAAGUCGUAACAAGGUAGCCGUAGGGGAACCUGCGGCUG
Molecule: ribosomal RNA, 1302 nt
Filed under: metagenome
Description: bacterial SSU rRNA
Rfam family: Bacterial small subunit ribosomal RNA
Source: RNAcentral